This 325-nucleotide ribosomal RNA is filed under the name uncultured Cercozoa. Its description in RNAcentral is "bacterial SSU rRNA". The stretch from base 104 to 325 matches the Rfam family "Eukaryotic small subunit ribosomal RNA", at positions 733 to 955 of the family's 1831-position model. Lineage: Eukaryota; Cercozoa. The record is from RNAcentral.
GAUUUCUGGUUUGAUGUACCUGUCCCGCUGCGGUAACGUAUGUGUGUGACGGAGUAUGUCUGCCAUCCUUCUAGAGAAUGCAAGCUACCCUUCACUGGGCCGGUUUGUAUCAUCUAGAUCUUUUACUUUGAAAAAAUUAGAGUGUUUCAAGCAGGCGUUUUGCUAUGAAUACAUUAGCAUGGAAUAAUGAGCUAGGACUUCGGUUCUAUUUUGUUGGUUUCUAGGACUGAAGUAAUGAUUGAUAGGGACAGUUGGGGGUGCUAGUAUUCAGCGGCCAGAGGUGAAAUUCUUGGAUUCGCUGAAGACUAACUUAUGCGAAAGCAUU